Bos taurus (domestic cattle) is the source of this 1145-nucleotide long non-coding RNA. Lineage: Eukaryota; Metazoa; Chordata; Mammalia; Artiodactyla; Bovidae. The record is from Ensembl.
AUCCACCACCGUGGAAUCUCUCUACAUCAAACCCUUACUAGAGUCCCCAAAGCACAGCUGGUCUUAAUUGUUUCUGGAGGACUCCAUCUAGUUAACUGGGAGGAGGCCGGCAAGGAUCGCAGGAAACCACAUUGGUUAUUUUAUCAGGGUUGAGCUGAGGGGCUACACAUAGGUAGUGACUUAGAAAUAAUGUGAUGAGCUGAGUGCUUUAUUUCCUAUUCUGCUACAAAUUAACCUCAAAAUUGCUACAGCUUUAAAAAACAGAUACUUUUGAACCCAUGCAGUGAAGAAAGUAUCUCUAAGAACUGGAGCUCCAGCCCACCGUCCAGAAGAAACUGUGAAUAGCAACAACGCUGGCCCCGGACUAGAAUUCAGCGACAUGAACCCAAGAGACAUAAGCCGUUCGGGAAGACGGCACACAACACUGACGAGCAAAAGAAUGAGACGUAAAACCACGAACCUCCACUGAAGUUUCUUCAGGGGCAACCAUUUCUGCCUCUUGGUGGGAAGACGAUGCAAAUUUGUCGAUUCGGCUCGGCUGGCUUUCAGCUCGUCCCACAGCCGCAAGCGGGAGGAAGAUGCCUCUCAGAUAUCCUUUUGUUACUCUAAUCAGAGCCAGAAGGGCUGUAUUGACUUUCGGGCCUUGGGGAGUUGUAGUUCUUUUGUAUCCAUCUCAUCCAAGAAAUCAAGUUUGAUUAAUUUGUCAUCAAGGAAAAUGUGUGAUCAGCUCAGAGCCAGGCCUUUGAAGAGGAAGGAUGAACUUGGGCUUGCAAAAGUCCAGGUCAGCGGGCAAAACAGCAGUGGUGCCGAAUCGAACAAGUUCUUCUCAGAGCUGCCUGUUCUCAUUUAAAAGACUUUAAAACAAAACAAAACACAAACCCUUUUCCACAUAAACAUUCAGGGUUGGAUUGCUCCCUGGCCAGGGUCUCUUUUUGUUUACUUUAAUUUUGAAAAUAGAGUUAUCAGGGCUACAAAGCAAGACCCGGAGAACACUGAGCCGUGCCACAAAGCGCAGGGGUGGAAGGAUUUGACCUCCUGCCAAUCUUAAAAGACCACGAAGAGUGGGAGAGCCGAGAGGGCUGAACUCGGUGUCAGCACGUGCUUCUGGAAUGAAUAAUCGGAGGGGUCUCCAGCUGGGUCAUGGG